This 575-nucleotide ribosomal RNA is filed under the name uncultured rumen bacterium. Its description in RNAcentral is "bacterial SSU rRNA". It matches the Rfam family "Bacterial small subunit ribosomal RNA", at positions 347 to 916 of the family's 1533-position model. The record is from RNAcentral.
GGCAGCAGCUAAGAAUAUUCCGCAAUGGGGGAAACCCUGACGGAGCGACGCCGCGUGGAUGAUGAAGGCCGGAAGGUUGUAAAAUCCUUUUAUACGUGAGGAAUAAGUGGAGUGAGAGAAACGCUUCAUGGUGACUGUAGCGUAUGAAUAAGCAACGGCUAAUUACGUGCCAGCAGCCGCGGUAACACGUAAGUUGCGAGCGUUGUUCGGAAUUAUUGGGCGUAAAGGGCAUGUAGGCGGUAAUGCAAGUCUGGUGUGAAAGGCGGGAGCUCAACUCCCGGACUGCGUUGGAAACUGCAUUACUUGAGUGACUGAGGGGCAAUCAGAAUUCCUGGUGUAGGGGUGAAAUCUGUAGAUAUCAGGAAGAAUACCAAUGGCGAAGGCAGGUUGCCAGCAGAUGACUGACGCUGAGGUGCGAAGGUGCGGGGAGCAAACAGGAUUAGAUACCCUGGUAGUCCGCACAGUCAACUAUGUACACUGGAUGUCUGGUCAGAAGACUGGGUGUCGAAGCAAACGCGAUAAGUGUACCGCCUGGGGAGUAUGCCCGCAAGGGUGAAACUCAAAGGAAUUGACGG